GCGUGAAUGGGGUAGUGGUAACCUUAAUCGUUGCCAUCGAUUAGCCAGGGGUUCGAUUCCCCUUUCACGCA
This 71-nucleotide transfer RNA is filed under the name Rhizoctonia solani. RNAcentral's name for it is "tRNA-Gly". It matches the Rfam family "tRNA". From Rfam's summary of the family: Transfer RNA (tRNA) molecules are approximately 80 nucleotides in length. Their secondary structure includes four short double-helical elements and three loops (D, anti-codon, and T loops). Further hydrogen bonds mediate the characteristic L-shaped molecular structure. tRNAs have two regions of fundamental functional importance: the anti-codon, which is responsible for specific mRNA codon recognition, and the 3' end, to which the tRNAs corresponding amino acid is attached (by aminoacyl-tRNA synthetases). tRNAs cope with the degeneracy of the genetic code in two manners: having more than one tRNA (with a specific anti-codon) for a particular amino acid; and 'wobble' base-pairing, i.e. permitting non-standard base-pairing at the 3rd anti-codon position. RNAcentral also lists the same sequence under 2 other names. The record is from RNAcentral. Lineage: Eukaryota; Fungi; Basidiomycota; Agaricomycetes; Cantharellales; Ceratobasidiaceae.